Molecule: small nucleolar RNA, 76 nt
Filed under: Calidris pugnax (ruff)
Lineage: Eukaryota; Metazoa; Chordata; Aves; Charadriiformes; Scolopacidae
Description: Small nucleolar RNA SNORD45 (ENSCPUG00000016070.1)
Rfam family: Small nucleolar RNA SNORD45
About the family: U45 belongs to the C/D class of snoRNA which contain the C (UGAUGA) and D (CUGA) box motifs. Most of the members of the box C/D family function in directing site-specific 2'-O-methylation of substrate RNAs.
Source: RNAcentral
GGUCGGUGAUGAGCCCGGCAUGUAUUACCUGAGACCCUGAUGCCAAAACUCAGCUCUAGAAUUACUCUGAGACCCC